RNAcentral lists this ribosomal RNA (253 nucleotides) under uncultured bacterium. Its description in RNAcentral is "partial 16S ribosomal RNA". It matches the Rfam family "Bacterial small subunit ribosomal RNA", at positions 524 to 776 of the family's 1533-position model. The record is from RNAcentral.
UACGGAGGGGGCGAGCGUUAUCCGGAAUUAUUGGGCGUAAAGAGCUCGUAGGCGGUUUGUCGCGUCUGCCGUGAAAGUCCGGGGCUCAACUCCGGAUCUGCGGUGGGUACGGGCAGACUAGAGUGAUGUAGGGGAGACUGGAAUUCCUGGUGUAGCGGUGAAAUGCGCAGAUAUCAGGAGGAACACCGAUGGCGAAGGCAGGUCUCUGGGCAUUAACUGACGCUGAGGAGCGAAAGCAUGGGGAGCGAACAGG